ACUAAAUCAGUACACACACGCCAAGCCCAGGGGACCCGUUUGGUAAUCUAAACUACAGGAGGGGACAAUGACACCUAUAUACCAGGAUCAAAUAUCCACAGUUUCACAGUCACUUCUCAGGGAAUUGUGAGUCCAUUAUAAACGAACAAAUAGGGACCUGCACGUGCCCGCAACAAAACCUCACACAACUCUAUACCUAUAUGCUAUGUAUCUACUCUUACUGUGAGACUUGCGUGUCUCAUUUCUCUUUACUCAUGUGGAGAUCUGCGUAUCUUGAUUUACCAGAUGUUAUUUAUCAUAUUUGAAACCUGCGUGUUUCCUCA
Non-coding RNA from Pelobates cultripes (western spadefoot toad), 323 nucleotides. The record is from the annotation of a GenBank genome assembly. NCBI's taxonomy places the organism in Eukaryota, Metazoa, Chordata, Amphibia, Anura, Pelobatidae.